GAUGAACGCUGGCGGCGUGCUUAACACAUGCAAGUCGAACGGAAAGGCCCAAGCUUGCUUGGGUACUCGAGUGGCGAACGGGUGAGUAACACGUGGGUGAUCUGCCCUGCACUUCGGGAUGAGCCUGGGAAACUGGGUCUAAUACCGGAUAGGACCACUUCUUGGAUGUUGUGGUGGAAAGUUUUUUCGGUGUGGGAUGAGCUCGCGGCCUAUCAGCUUGUUGGUGGGGUAAUGGCCUACCAAGGCGUCGACGGGUAGCCGGCCUGAGAGGGUGUACGGCCACAUUGGGACUGAGAUACGGCCCAGACUCCUACGGGAGGCAGCAGUGGGGAAUAUUGCACAAUGGGCGCAAGCCUGAUGCAGCGACGCCGCGUGGGGGAUGACGGCCUUCGGGUUGUAAACUCCUUUCGCUAGGGACGAAGCGUUUUGUGACGGUACCUGGAGAAGAAGCACCGGCUAACUACGUG
Molecule: ribosomal RNA, 467 nt
Filed under: uncultured bacterium
Lineage: Bacteria
Description: partial 16S ribosomal RNA
Rfam family: Bacterial small subunit ribosomal RNA
Source: RNAcentral